This is a non-coding RNA of Tolypothrix campylonemoides VB511288, 78 nucleotides long. The record is from Rfam. Lineage: Bacteria; Bacillati; Cyanobacteriota; Cyanophyceae; Nostocales; Tolypothrichaceae.
GGAAGCCGGAUGCACCGAAAGGCGCACGUCCGGAUUUAAAUGGGAGGUGCGGGGCGUAAUAGCCCCCAUCGACCCAAC